CGGGGCGCGCGCCUCAGAGAGAGCUGUGGUUGCCGGAAGUUGAGCGGCGGCAAGAAAUAAUGGCGGCAGCUACGGGGGAUCCUGGACUCUCUAAACUGCAGUUUGCCCCCUUUAGUAGUGCCUUGGAUGUUGGGUUUUGGCAUGAGUUGACCCAGAAGAAGCUGAACGAGUAUCGGCUGGAUGAAGCUCCCAAGGACAUUAAGGGUUAUUACUACAAUGGUAGGUGAUUGUAAAUUUCAUUUUCCAUCAUCUUCUGUUAUCCUCACGGUCCUCCAGUAUAGUGUCAGCUUUCCUUUAGAAAGAGACAGCCUUGUCUUUUAUAAUCAGUGCUCUUCACUAGUUUCUAUUUUACUUCCCGACUUUUUGAUCCCAGUUCAUUUUCAUUUAUUUUCUCUUGUUGUGGGGAAAAAGAAAGAGAGUAGUGAAACUCAAAUUAUUAAUCCAAAUAAUACCCAUUACUUAGCAUUGCUGUGGGAAGAGAUUGGAAAUAUUUUUUCCAUUGAAUCUUUUUUAUAUUCUUGGCAAAUGUCUCAU
This 534-nucleotide small RNA is filed under the name Pan troglodytes (chimpanzee). RNAcentral describes it as "retained intron". The record is from RNAcentral. Lineage: Eukaryota; Metazoa; Chordata; Mammalia; Primates; Hominidae.